UGGUCGCUAUCUUUUUGGCACGUCGGCGUGCAUGCUCGCUGCUCAGAAAUGAGGAUUACCUCGUCGUCUAGCCAGAGGCGGCGGUUGGUCUGGAAGCGUGCGGGCUAGGUCGGGAUGCGGGGGAGGCGCCGGCUAGGUAGGGAUACAGCGCCGGCUAGGUACGGGAUACGGCGGCGGCUACGGAGGAGGAGGUGGAGGUAAAGGUUCGCUGCCGCGAGCGCCGGCACCAGAAGAGGGGGUCGGUGGUACCGACGUCUAGGUGAGUGCCGGCCAACAGAUUCGACGUUCGUACCUACCUACCUAGGUCCUUCCAUAGGAAGGAGGGACCCACCCCGCUCGAUGUGUAGGGUAAGCCGGGAGACAUCGGCCGGUAGAGGCGGAGGAGGAGCGGCAACGGCGACGGCCCCUAGCGCAGAAGUGGUUCGCGCUCGAGGCGGGGUAGGCUGGCUGGCGUUUCCCCAACAGGUAACAUUUAAAAGUUCCUCUAAGUUUACAAGGAGAAGACCUACUAACUUCCCAAUGAACUUCGAUCCCGUUAGGUUCAUUCUAUCGAAGUAGGAGUCCGUUGUCCAAAUACAAUAGAAUAGUACCUCAGUAAAAAUUCAAACACGGGUUGCGGAAGUAGGAAUCUUACCGACGGGUCUACCGUUCGGUGGCAUGAAUCCGUUGACGGCGCGAUCGUCCCACGAGGUUGAAAACUACGACCGCUUCGAAAACCUUACUACCGAUGUAUUAAACAAUCAGAGGCAACCUUCGAAUUAAUUUGACUCUAAGUCUACACACCGUUUCCUAAAGUUAAAAGGAUAAAUGUGUUUCCUUUGAACUCCUUCCAAGUCUAAAGAGUACGAGCCACAACACGAGAGUUCCAAUGUAUCUGUUCUUACGGAGGAUAAAUGUGUUGCCGUUGGGCUGCUUCCUACUGCCCCGCCCAGCCCUCCGCCCCUUUCGGCAGGUACCGCUAGGACCACCGCAACGAUUACCGCAAUCACCGUGACGGCGAGGAGUACCACGGGCUGUGCGAGAGAUACGGUCCGAGGUUGCCGCACCUAGCGCCGCGGCGGGACAGCGAGGGUGCGGGCACGAAGUCGUCUAGGCACAAACUCAACACGUAUGGAAAUCGGCGGAGGGGAGGUUACAGGUGCUGAGACUAUAUGGCACAAACAAUCAGAACUGACCACAAACAAGAGGCAUAACAACACGUCCUCCGACCUCUUGUAGUCCCUCUUUUCCCUCAGCACCUACCUCUGAACAGGAUGUACCGGCUCGCUCUAGCUCCGAUCGGCGGCCAUUACAAGAAGAGGGCACGUUCAAGGCGUGACGUAACUUCGUAGGUUGUGUACUACAUCGAUGCAAUGUCCACCCUAUAGUCGGUUCAUACAAAGCUCCACUCUGUAGGUAGUUCAAACAAACCUCUUUAACACGUCAGGUCGAGGACGCACGACCAGUGGCUCGAGGUGACACAGGUCGAGUAGGCUGGUACACGAGGUGACGUAGAUCCAGUUGGCUAGAACACCGUCUCGAUGUGACUGCGUUCUCGUUUAUCAAAAUGUUAAAGAAACAACAAGGAAACAUGACCUAUUGACACGUAAAAAUCUCCACACUUCUACAUUACGUUAUUGUCAUUGACCUGCAUCCGUGUAGGCAGAGCUAUUCGUAAUACCCUUGCCUGUUUCCGUUCCGUAAGGUUACAUUCUUUACCUACUUCCGUUCCAUACAGUAAGAUUUUUUUCCGUUCCGUAUGGUCCUACGACGUAACGAAUUACAGGUCAAGAGAUGCGAAAGGGAUAUCGUUGGAAAAAAUCUAGAAUACGCAACACAAAAGGAUUGUUUUUUUACAGGUAUACCUAAGUGAUUUUGUUCUAAUAUAAUAGUCGUUAAAACAAACGUACAUUAAUUAAUCACUAUCGGAUACGGAGUGUGCUGAUAAAAAAGGUCAAGUCAACAUAGGAAGUUAUACCCACGUUACUUCACACCUAUCUGUUUGUGUAAAGAAAAUGACACUAUAGUAACUGGAACAACUAAAUAUAAAAAGUUUUGACUAUCCUUACUUUAGGUAUACUUAGAACACUACGGUUUCGAGAUUCACGACUACUAAAUUUAAGGAUAAUUUUUUAGGAAUUUAUCUUUCACCUGGAAUAUCGCCUCUUAUUACACAUUCGAUGUCCACCUCAGGCAGAGUUCACUUCACUUUG
RNAcentral lists this ribosomal RNA (2192 nucleotides) under Triticum aestivum (bread wheat). Its description in RNAcentral is "partial small subunit ribosomal RNA". The record is from RNAcentral. Lineage: Eukaryota; Viridiplantae; Streptophyta; Magnoliopsida; Poales; Poaceae.